Rattus norvegicus (Norway rat) is the source of this 4000-nucleotide long non-coding RNA. RefSeq lists it as uncharacterized. NCBI's taxonomy places the organism in Eukaryota, Metazoa, Chordata, Mammalia, Rodentia, Muridae. The record is from RefSeq and is a predicted model, not a curated record.
UCAAAAAGUCAGUGAGCAAACCGAUCUUUAAUUUGUUGGCCUGGAAGGCUCGCUUGCUCUGUGGGCAAGGACCAGUUAUUUACACAGAAUCAUUGUACAGUAUUUACAGGAAGAGGCCAGACACAGCAUCCGUGUGGAUAGUUAAAGAAAGGGCAAGAACCACGUGGGGAAGGAAACUCUAAUAUCAAAGUAAACGCAGAAACUGAAAAGUGUGGAAGACCAGAGGAGCGUCUGUCUGAAUCAGAAGACAGUCUGCUGCGGCAGACCCAAGGAAGAAGCCUCAAGUAGCCUGCAGAGGUGUGGGGAAGGGUGUGCUGGGCAUGAAAUAAAGCCUUGAAAAGUAUGCAGUAUGGAAGAGAAAAAAUAUGCUACCUGCUGUUUCAGAGAAAAGAAUACAAUUAGCACUUUAUCAUCCAUAACUUAUGCUCCCCCAUCAAAGAGCAAUCCCCACUUCUUUUAAAAGUAUCUGGACAAGAGACUAAGAAAGAGAAUUCUGUCUCAAGGUAACAAACUUUUAACUAGACUCAAGACAUCUAGAUAAAGGGAAGACAGCAAAGAGGUUCUGGCAAUGGAACUGAAGGCCAACCGCAGAGGUGCGCUGGAGUCUUCCCAUGGGCAUCGCCUUCCUGACCUGUCUUUGGCAGGUUCUUCCCCUCAUCCCUAAGUGUCUGGAUUUUAACUUCAGACAAGGAGUUCAUUGGAACGAGGCUGGCACACGGGGGACAGGCUCAGCUCCCAUCUCAUCAAUUUGGGUUCCCUCCUUAUCUCAUACCACACUGUCAGGGCUUGAGUCGUAGCCAGGGACAGAUUAGGGUGAGAAUAGACAGAACGGAGGAUAUGAGGCCACACAGCCCCACAAUCCCAGGGCCACAACGCCAGAGGCCUAGUUUGUCCAGUGGGAUGAAGAGGUCACAGGCAUUUCUCAGCACAUCCAGCAGAAGAGGGGGGUGAUCUCGAAGGACACGUGCCAGUAGCAGGAUUCGGAGCCGAAAUUUCAAAGCCAGUUGUGGCAGACAUCCUCCUGGAGUCCCUGGUCCUCCAGGUCCCCCAGUCUCUAAUCCUGAGACUCCUACUCCAGAAAUCUUCAUUCGCCUGCUGUGAGCUGAAGUCUCUUGUUCCAUCAACAGGCGAAUCUCAUAAGCAUCCCGGCUCAGGUUCAUGAUGAGGGAGAAGAGAUAGUACCUGAGACACACAGGGCACACACGACACACGGGUUAGAAAGGGACAAAGGUCUGUGGAACAACACGCCCCAUAGACUGGAAGGGGAGUCUACAUUAGAACAUUAGAAGCGACUGCUAAAAUCCGCUAUUGGAAAUAUCCACGCUGGGGCUGGAGAGAUAGCUUAGUAGGUAAAGGCACUGUCAUCAAGCCUGAAGAACUAGGUUAGAUCCCCAGAACCCAUGUGGAGGCUGAAACUGAUUUCCCCAAGUUGUCCUUUGACUUCAACAGACACACUAAUGUACUUAUAUGUACCCACAUACCCAAUAUAAAUAAACUAAUAUAUUACAUAUAACAUAAAUAGAUAUAUAGAUAACUUUUUGAAAAGGUAAAAAAAAUUAGGUAACUUAAAAAAAGUUAAAAGAUAUAUCUUGCUGGUUGCUGGGCUGGAGAGAUGGCUCAGCGGUUAAGAGCACCAACUGCUCUUCCAGAGGUCUUGAGUUCAAUUCCCAGCAACCACAUGGUGGCUCACAGCCAUCUGUAGUGAGAUCUGAUGCCCUCCUCUGGUGUGUCUGAAGACAGCUGCAGUGUCCUCACAUACAUAAAAUAAAUAAAUUUUUUUAAAAAAAUCAUCCUUUCUGGAGCUGGAGAGAUGGCUCAGUGGUUAAGAACACUCAUUGUUCUUCCAGAGGUCCUGAGUUCAAAUCCCAGCAACCACACGGUUGUUGUAAAAAUAUAAAAAUAAUAAAUGUAUUAUUGGCUUUUACCUCGCUAGGUCCUGCACCUCAGUGCCCCAAGAUAUCUACUAGAUAUCUUGGCGGAAACACAUCCCAGCCGCACAAUUUCCUACACUCAAACCCUCACAUAAAAGAACACACAACACAAUAAUCUUAGAUUCAGUUGAUAAGAUAUAAUUGCCCACAUUGAAUUUGUAAAGUACAGGUGAAGGGCAGGUACAAGAUAGAAGGAGGCCUGUCAUUGGAGGAGAAGGAAGGAUGGGCAGGAGAGAAGUUUGAAGGAGGAGGAGGAGACUGGAGGAGAAAGGAAGAGAAGGGACAGAGGAGAGGGGAGAAGCCACGGCAGGUGAUGUUAAGAUUCCGCUCUGUGUAUUUACAGGUUGUUAUGAAUGUUCCUAAGGGAUGGAUGGUACGGGCUUUGUAUGUUUAUGUGGGCAGUUAUAUCUUACCAAUUGGGUCAAAGGUUACUGUGUUGUGUGUUCCUUUAUGUGACGCUCUGAGUGUAGCGAAGUGUGAGGCGGCAGGAGACACUGGGCCGCCGAGGAGUUGGGAUGUUUCCACCAAGAACGAGCAGAUAUCUUGGGGCACCAUGGUGCUGAACCUAGUGAGGCAAAAGACCACAAUACUUUUUUUAUUUUUUAUAUUUUUACAACACACGGUGGCUCACAACUAUCUGUAAUGAGAUCCCAUGCCCUCUGGUGUGUCUGAAGACAGCCACAGUGUACUUAUAUAUAACAAAUAGAUUGUUAAAAAGAAAAAAAAAGAAUCCUCCUUUCUUGACAACAUACUAGGUUCAAUAAAUCUGAUACAGAAAGACUCAUGAUCUCACUUAUGUGUUAAUCAAAAUAGUCUAACUUAUGGAAUAAGGACUGGAGGGGGCAGGAAACAGAAAGCCCUUAGCUAACGGGACAAAUAUUCAAUUCUACAAAAUAAAUAGUUCUGUAUAUCUAACAUGGUGACCACAAUAUAAUACGUCACUUAACACAAUAACAUACAGUUAGUAUAAUCAUGUACUUGAAAGUUGCUAAAUGGGUUAAUUUCAGAUCAGGUGUUCUUAUUAAAAAGGUGUCACCAUGAGGUUAUGAGCAUUUUAAAAAUUAUUAUUAUGUAUGUGGGUGUUUUGCCUGCAUGUAUGUCUGUGCACUAGGUGCAUGCCUGCCAACCAAGGAGGCCAGAAGAGGGUGUCGCACAAGGAACUGGAGAUGCCGGUGUUUAUGAGAGUCAUGCAGAUGCUGGGAGUUGAACUGGCAUCCUCUGGAAGAACAGCUAGCAUUCUUUUUUUGGUUCUUUUUUUCAGAGCUGGGGACCGAACCCAGGGCCUUGCGCUUCCUAGGCAAGCGCUCUACCACUGAGCUAAAUCCCCAACCCCAACAGCUAGCAUUCUUAAGUGCUGUGUCUUUUCCAGCCCCAGACUAAGUGAUCUUGACUAUUGUGAUCAUUUCACCAUCUGCAUAUACAAGACAUCACACUGUAUGUUUAAUAUGUAGAAUUAUACCCCAGAAAUAAUAAUAAUAAUAAAAAGCAACUCUCCUGCUAUUCUACAAUGUGCUUAUGUGCACCUUAAGGUCCUGGCUUAAAAUGUGUGAGUCAUGAAAUCUGCAAAGAUCAACUCCAAAUUUCCUUUCUGAGACAAUCCCUCUAACAUACCACACUCUGAGCUGGAGAUGGCAGUGGUGAUGUGCUUGCCACACAAGAGUGAGGCCCUAAGCUCAGAUCCCUAGAGCCCAUGUCAAUGCUGGUAGACAUGGAGACAGGGACUCCCAGAAUAAGGUGGCUAGUCAGACAAGCAUUGUGUAGGUGAGCUCUGGGUUCAACUGAAAGAACCUGUGUCAAUGGAUACAGUGGAGAAAGGCAGGGAGACUUCCAAAGCCAAUGUAUACAUGUAUCCAGACUUUUGCACACACUUGUGCAAACACACAAACACAUUCACACGGAAAAAUACACUUAACUUGACCCUAAAAAUGCAAACUAUUUUGAAAGAACAAAUUUAGUUGUUCAAGAAACACAUACAAUCUCUGAAUUCAAGGCUAGUCUGGUCUAUAGUGAGUUCCAGGACAGCCUAAGCUACACAGAGAAACCCAGUCUCAAAAAAAAAAAAAAACAAA